This 203-nucleotide long non-coding RNA is filed under the name Phoenix dactylifera (date palm). RNAcentral describes it as "long non-coding RNA (PDAC_LNC016714)". The record is from RNAcentral. Lineage: Eukaryota; Viridiplantae; Streptophyta; Magnoliopsida; Arecales; Arecaceae.
CAUUAUCGGUCACUGGCAAGGCCGGCUCAGUUGCAUUCGGCCCGUAGCAAUAAAAACCCUUAGGUACCCCUUGCAAGCAGUGCACAUAACUAGAUGCAAUUCAUUAUCUUAUUUCAUAUGGGUAUCAAAAUUAUAUAGCAAUGUAACCCAAUUCAUCUUGCAUGCAUAAUAAAUUCUGCAUAAGCUCAAUACAUGCAUAAUCA